UGCUUUUGUUAGAGACGUAGUAGUCACAUAACACAAUUUCAUAUAUAUAUAUAUAUAUAUAUAUAAAGUAAAAGUUUUAAUUGAUUCUUGGUAUUUUAUUAUUAUUCAAAAGAUCCUAUAUUUUAGGUAUUAAAUUAUAUUUAGCUAAAAUUUUUAAUUUGUUAAUUCUUCCUUAAUAAUUAGCAAUGUUUUAAAAACCGGACCGGACCGGCCAGUCCAACCGUCAACCGGUCACCAUUCCGGUCCGAUCUGGUCAUUUGGACCGAAUUGAGAUCGAACCGGGGUUAAACCGCUCGAACCGACGGUUCAACCGGUGAACCGGACAAACCGGCCGGUUCCAAGGGAACCGGCCGAUUCAAAUAAUUUUAAUUUAAAAAAAAAAUUACAAAAUAAAAAUAUUACUGUAGGUAAGCUGCAAGCAUGAAAGGAAGGAUUCCAUGUUGGGCCUGUCUUAUGACAAGCCCACAUACCCACUCCAAUUACCCUAGGCCUCUUUUUUGAGCCCACAAGACAAUGCCAAGCCUUUGCUGAGGAUGGCUUUUAUAGGAGUCAUUUGACUCCUUGUUCCUCUCAUAUUCCGAUGUGGGAUUGCAUUUUAUCAAUGAAAAAAAACAUAACAAAACUCCACCAAGAGGAUUUGAACCUUGGACCAAUCUUUUACUCUAGUCCACCUAGG
RNAcentral lists this long non-coding RNA (676 nucleotides) under Vitis vinifera (wine grape). RNAcentral's name for it is "long non-coding RNA (VVIN_LNC001773)". The record is from RNAcentral. Lineage: Eukaryota; Viridiplantae; Streptophyta; Magnoliopsida; Vitales; Vitaceae.